UCGGCAACGGAUAUCUCGGCUCUCGCAUCGAUGAAGAACGUAGCAAAAUGCGAUACUUGGUGUGAAUUGCAGAAUCCCGUGAACCAUCGAGUCUUUGAACGCAAGUUGCGCCCGAAGCUUUGGUUGAGGGCACGUCUGCCUGGGUGUCACACAACGUUG
This 159-nucleotide ribosomal RNA is filed under the name Stigmaphyllon puberum. Its description in RNAcentral is "5.8S ribosomal RNA". It matches the Rfam family "5.8S ribosomal RNA". From Rfam's summary of the family: 5.8S ribosomal RNA (5.8S rRNA) is a component of the large subunit of the eukaryotic ribosome. Lineage: Eukaryota; Viridiplantae; Streptophyta; Magnoliopsida; Malpighiales; Malpighiaceae. The record is from RNAcentral.